Molecule: ribosomal RNA, 422 nt
Filed under: uncultured bacterium
Lineage: Bacteria
Description: bacterial SSU rRNA
Rfam family: Bacterial small subunit ribosomal RNA
Source: RNAcentral
UAAGGAAUAUUGGUCAAUGGACGCAAGUCUGAACCGGCCAUGCCGCGUGGAGGAUUAAGGCCCUCUGGGUUGUAAACUCCUUUUAUCUGGGAAGAAAUGUACUUUUUCUUGAGUACUUGACGGUACCAGAGGAAUAAGCACCGGCUAACUCCGUGCCAGCAGCCGCGGUAAUACGGAGGGUGCAAGCGUUAUCCGGAUUCACUGGGUUUAAAGGGUGCGUAGGUGGGCAGGUAAGUCAGUGGUGAAAUCUCCGGGCUUAACCCGGAAACUGCCGUUGAUACUAUUGGUCUUGAAUAUUGUGGAGGUGAGCGGAAUAUGGCAUGUAGCGGUGAAAUGCUUAGAUAUGACAUAGAACACCAAUUGCGAAGGCAGCUUACUACACAAUCAUUGACGCCGAGGCGCGAAAGCGUGGGGAUCAAACA